AUACGGGGGGUGCAAGCGUUAAUCGGAAUUAAUGGGCGUAAAGCGCGCGUAGGCGGUUUGCUCAGUCGGAUGUGAAAGCCCAGGGCUCAACCUUGGAACUGCAUACGAUACUGGCAAACUAGAGUGUGAGAGAGGAUAGUGGAAUUUCCGGUGUAGCGGUGAAAUGCGUAGAUAUCGGAAGGAACAUCAGUGGCGAAGGCGACUGUCUGGUUCAACACUGACGCUGAGGUGCGAAAGCGUGGGUAGCAAACAGGAGUAGAAACCCGAGUAGUCC
RNAcentral lists this ribosomal RNA (274 nucleotides) under uncultured bacterium. RNAcentral's name for it is "partial 16S ribosomal RNA". It matches the Rfam family "Bacterial small subunit ribosomal RNA", at positions 523 to 796 of the family's 1533-position model. The record is from RNAcentral.